AAAAAAUAGAAAAAUAUUAAAAAAAUUAAAAAUGAUGAAAAUAUGAAGGAAAAUAUAAAAAAAAAUUAAAGAUAAAAUAGAAAUUACUAUGUUGACCUCCAAUCAAACAAUUUAUUUAAAAGAAACGAAAUUGGUUUUCAAUAGUUUUCAUUGUUUAAAUAGUGUGAGAAAUGAGAUUUUAGGUUUUAUAACUGCUAAUUGAAUUUUGAUGGAUUAAAAAAUAUAUAAUUAGAAAAAUUGAAAUCAAUAUGAAUAGAAAUAAAAAAAAGUAAAACUGAAAAAAAUAUCCAAAAAAAGAAACACAAAAAAGGAGAUGAGAAAAAAAAUCGAAAGUGGAAAAUCUUAAAGAGAUAAAAAUUUAAAAAAAAUUGAAAUUUAUGAAAUUAAUUUGCGGCUUUAUCGGUGAGGGUUAAAGAGUUGAAAUGAAAGACGGAUAGAAGAUCAGAAGAAAAUGUCUAAGGUGGUGAAAAGAGCGAAGAGCAUUUGGAAUAGAAGCUUGACCACAUACUAAAUUCUUUGUCCUGCACCAAUUAACUGUGUUGAAGAAGUAGUACCCAAUAGAACCAUCCAUAAUUAACUGAAUCGAAAAAUGUAGUGCCUCCUCUAUUGGGUACAAUACAGUUAAUUGGUGCGGGACAAAGAAUUUAGUAUGUGGUCAAGCUUCUAUUCCAAAUGCUCUUCGCUCUUUUUACCAACUUAGAAUUUUCUUCUGAUCUUCUAUCCGUCUUUCAUUUCAACUCUUUAACCCUCACCGAUAAAGCCGCAAAUUAAUUUCAUAAAACAAAUUCACGGUGAUUUCUCUUCUUAAAAUAAUAAAAAGAAAUACAAAAUAAAAAAUUAAAAAAAAUUUAAAAAGUGACAAAAUUAAAAAAAAAAGUAAAAAAAAAAUGAAAAAAAUAAAUUAAAUUUUUAAUCGAAUAAAGGACAGAUAAUAAACAAAUUAAAAAGAGAGAAAAUAGUUGAAUAAAAAACUGCAGAAAGAAAACACUGAAAAAAAUAUAGGUAAAAAAACACAAUAAUAACGAGGAACAAAUUAAUUUAAGAAUAAAAAUAACGCAAAAUUUAAAUAAUGAAACGGAUUUUACAAAUAAAAAUUAAAGACAAAAAUUUGGAAUUGAAACUUGAAUACGUCUUCUAAAUUUUAAAUUUUAUUUUAAAAUCUUAAUAUGAAGGUUGAUUUUAAACUUUUUAUCAUAAACCCGAUUCUAUAUUGAUAAAUCUAUAUCAAAUUAAAAAUGAGCACACAAAAAGCAAACCCACAAACGAUGAAACGGUCGAGAUCGAAAUAAAAUCCGAUUUAUUACGAAAUUUGCGAACUCCUGGCCAAAAGCUAUUCUCUUUCUCUUGAUCUUUACUCAUUCAGUGACGAUCAUUCAUCCAUUCAUCUGAGAUGGCUCGAGCGCCAAGAAAGAAAGCAAUGCAACAACUGGCUCGAUCUCCGGUGCCUUUCUUGCCACGGUUGCAGACCGUAGUGAACCGUGUGCUGGAUCGGAUUGCGUUCCGCCGUUUUCCGUAGUGAAAUUUUGUUUUACCGAAAAAGUGAGCCAUAAUUGUUAGUGAAAUUUCUCAAGUUGGCUGCCGGAAUUUGCUGGAUGUAUCCCUCUUAGUUUUUAAUUCUUAUAAAUUGAGUUUUGGGAGUUUUACAAUUGAAGACAAGGAAAAGCCUUUCGAACGGAAAACCCUUCGUUAACUAACCGAAGAACUUAGCCUGAGGGAAAAUCACCCGAGGCGCUAAGAGGAAGUGAAUGAAAUAUGUACAUCGCAGGAAAUACACAAACAGCAAAAACAAAAAUCGCAUCGAGUGAGAGUGAAAGUGCUUUUUUCCCUGCUUGGUGCUGAUCGCGUCGCCACCUCUAUAGCUUGGUGGAGAGUUAGGAAAAGGUCAUCUGCCUGGUGAUCUCACUCUUUCUCUCUUGCUUUUGCGGAUUCACUGGUGUGACGGACGCCUAACUGGUGGAUUGCUUGCUCAUUGCGAACUUGCGUCGAAGAUCUGCAGAAGAAUGUUGAAUGGCGUUGCUCUUGAGAUGCUGUGAAGAGUGAUGGUCUGAUAGUGGUGAAUGGUGAUGCUGGUGGUGGGCGGGAGAGAUAUGAUGGCGUAACUUUUCCAAGCGCUCCGAGAUGGGAAAUGCAAUUUACUUAUGCAGCAUCAGCAGCAAUAACAAACAGCAUCAGUGUGAUGGCAACAGGUGUGAAUUUUGUCGAGUGUGGGAAAAAGUACGGUGGAAAUGCUCUGUUACUAUACUACUUCACCAUCAGCUUCGGUUGGUUGGUGGUGUAAUUCCGUGAUGAUGAUGAUGAUGAUGAUCGUGAUUGAGUGAUUAGCAGCAGUGGCUCUCCGACACCAAUGAGAUAACCGAAAAAGGUCAUUGUAGUCGGCUCGGUCGGAAUUGUGGAAAAAAAAUAAUUAUUCGGAUCAGCAAACUCGUCAUAAUUCAAAUUUUGAAAGCUGAAAGAGGGUCAUGCAACGGAUUAAAUGUUUGUUGAAAAACGACUAAUCCUGCUAAAAGUUAAACGGAACAAGUUUAUACAUUGAAUUUUUUACGUGUCUUUGGAAUAGUUGAGUCAAUUACAAUAAUGAGGUAGCACAAAAAUGUUCAGAAACAAAUGCAGAAAAAAUAACUUCAAUUCUUCCAAUAAAUGUGAUGCAAUUAUAGGUCUGAUUGCAAAUACCUGUACUUGAAGGUUUGGAACUAUUUUGGAAGAUAAAGGAUUGCAUGUGUACGAUUUUUUAAUGUUUUCAAGACAUUGAAAACAGCGCCCUUCAAACACUUAUGACUUAUUUUUGUUGAUAAAAACGGAUUAGAUUCUAUUCGCCGAUGAUUGUUACGUCUAAGGGCUUCUCAACGCUCAAGUGUGGAAUUACUUACACAGCUCUGAUUGGAUGCACUUCAGGGUUUGCUCGCGAAUCGGAAAUACCGGAAAAACCUUUGGAAUUUCGUUGCUUCACCGGGAUACCGAGAAAAAAAACCGGAAGAUUCAGUACAAUACCGGGAAAACUGUUAUGGUUGGAAAAAUUUCACAAAUUUCAAAAAUAUUCAGCCUAACCGACUCGUGCAUUGCUAAUCGAAGCACAUUGACUACCUACUCUUCGAUGAUUUGAAGAAUGUCAAGCUUAAAAAAAAAUCUUUUAAAACACGUUGGCUUAUCCAUCCAAAAAAAAACGAAAAAAAAAGAUUCUCAGAUGAAUAAAAUUACUUUCGUUCUGUUGUCUGACAUUUUUUUACUCUGUGUGCUUUACAACACAUCUAUUUAGGAGAAAUCCAAAUCAUAUCGCCAGUUUCCUUAAACUGAGAACCCUGAUUUAACCGGAUUCAAUUUUUUUUUUUGUAGAGCGUUUAGACCCCCAUUAUCGACAUAUGUACUGUUUUUUUUUCUAGGAAUUUAACCGGUUUGUGUUAUUCUUAAUCCAUUGGCAGAUGAACCUAGUUUGAUUCGUAAGAAGCUUCUAAAAGACUAUACAUUUCGAAGUUCGAAUCUUUUUGCCUAAUACUCCUGUCAAAGUCAGUUCAUUAAACCCCCUUUUUGGAUUAGAAUCUGUGGCAUCUUUCAAUUUGGGAUGAAUCAUCCCAGAGGAUUAAAAGCCUGAAAAAAAAGCUUUUUUGAAUUCAAACAACACCCAAACAAAUCAAAUUUAAAAAAAAACCUUAAUACAUUAUUUAACUUCCAGUUUUCAACAGCUUUGUUGCCCACUCAUGAAAAUAAAUCAAUCAACUAUAAAACUCGUAGAAUUUGAAUACCGUGAAAUGAAAAAAAAAAAGUGAUUUUCAAACUUUCACGGUUCUUAAACAAUGCAUUUUUUAAGUUGUUCCCUCAGCAAUUUUUUUGCCUAAUUUUUACCAUACUUAAAUAAACAUAUUUUCUGCCACUCACACGUUUAUUAAAAGAAAAUACAACAGAUGCAAAUUUAGAGGUAAAAUUGCGAUUUUUUGAUAAACCAAAUGAAACUGAGAGCCUUAGCUAUAUGGACUCAAGUUAAACAAAUAUUUUCUUAAGUUUUUUUUUUCAAACUCGAAAUUAAGUUGUUUUGGUUCAAAACAGUCCUUUAGUGGCAGUCCUCAAUUUUGAAUUCGACUGGGCAACCACAAACUUAAAUUCUGACUAGCAUACUCAAAACUAAGCUCGACAGCUGAACUCCAAUUUGAACUUUUUUAAUGCCUUUAUUCGAAGCUACUCAAAAUGCAGUUGGGCAGCCCAACUCGCUGAGUACAUUCAGUUCAACAUACACAAAAGUGUUCAAUUUUCAGUUCAUUAGGUCGAUAUCAGUUUUGCUCCCUCGCCGAAGAAAAAAUGGGAUUAGUUUAAGUUCGCAGUUCGAACUCCGUUUUGAACCAUCGCGUCGCAAGGAGGGAUAAUGGAACUCAACUUUACAGGGUGUUCAAUAAGUUCGUAAACGCUUUUUAACCAAAUGGUGUGGUAAAGCCGUAGCCUAACUUUUUUUUUUAAAGUAAUUUGGUGCUAUUAUCAGACAAACUAUUCUUUGUACCGAAGAAUUAAUUUUCAUUAAGUGUUUGUUUUUCAUUUUUAUUAAGUGUUCGUUUUUCAUCAGCCUUUUCACACCACAAGUACUAGUACAGGCAAAAAAUCCAAUUUAUUGACCAAAAUAAAUAGUUUACAGGUCACCUAAUUUACCUCCUUUGGUCAAAUUCUCAUGAUCAUUGAUGAUGUAGAGAAUAAAUAAGUACAGAAUUUCUAAACUCGUCUCAUAUAAACUCUAUUUUUUCGUAUUAUGUGUGAAAUGUCGAAAAAGUAGCUACGUGCUAGCUGAUUUUCAUCAAUAGGCUUAUCAACGUGAUGGAGCAUAGAAUAAUUGCAUAUCAUAAAUAGAUGAAAACCAUUAAAUAUGUGCUUGUGUAUUAAGUUUACAUUGGUCAUUAAUGGAUUUUUUGGCUAAUUUUGCAUGUAGUGUUUGUUUUUCUAGGUCAUUUUACACAGAAUAAUACAGGUUUUUGGGAAUAUAGGCUCAAAAUGAAAAGUGCCUUGCCCUUCAAACAUUGCUCUCUUGGAUUGGUUAGUUAUAUCGUACAUGUUGUCGAGAAUAAACAAGUACCUACAGGAAACCUAUUUUGACUCUCUAUAAAAAUCGUCAGCAUUCUUAUGGAGAACGAAUUUUCGAUAAUAGAGGAGCGUGCCGCAUGCGAGAGAGCACUGAAGCUCAUAUAAUUGGUUUAAGGUAAAAAUUUUCCUAAACAAAAGGUGUGAUUGACCAUUAUUGAAUUACCUUUCCAUUUGAUUAAAAAAAAGUCGGUUCAGUUGAUUUUGAAUUACCGUUAGAUAUUUUAAUUUGUAUUUGAACUUAUUGAACACCCUGUAGUUCAAAGAAUCCAACUGUGUUUUUUACCACGGUCAAAACAGCACUUUAGUGCUGCACUUCAGUUUGACUUUGAAUUUUUGAAAUCGUCACAAAUUUUUAACAAACUUUGUUUUUCGAAUAAUCUUCAAUUUAUGUACGUACCAGUAGCUUUAAGAAAAAAUAAGAAUACACGAGUUUUUGAAAAAAUCUCUUUCUUCAUGUGAUACAUUUCCGACUAUUUUAAAUAUAAAUUCAACAUUUUAAUGUAACUCUGGGAAAAUUUUACAUAAACCAAUAUUUUUUAUUUGUUAGUUAGCUCUAAAGGUGAAGAUUUUUUUUUUGAAAAUUGUUAAAAAUUCAAAAUCCGUUAAAUAAACUUUAUCGAAACACAGUUUCCUUACUUUUUUUAAAUAUAAACAAACAAGAGCUUUUUUACAAUCAAAUCCAAUCAACCAAACAACAGUAAAGCCUCGUCCACACCCGGCAACUUGAGCUGCGAUUUCCGUUGCUGAUUUCCGUUUACACCUUGGUUGCUUAAAGGAGCAUGAGGUCUCCCAUACUUGUCGCGAGAUUUGAGACAUUGCAUCUCAUCGUCUAGUUUUAAGUGUAAACAUGAACAAGUCGCAGCAACCGAAAUCGCAGUUUAAGUUGCCUAGUGUAGACUAGGCUUAACAUUCUUUAGAAUCUUUGCUAUCAGGUUGAACCAAAAAAAAACAAGAAUAGCUCAAAAUAUCUUCUGGUAGACUUCCACACAUUUUUUCAGUAAGUGGAACAGGCCUUCGACGCUGCUCGCUACUACAACUCUUCACCGUAUUUUCUUCACCAACGCCAAAAUUUUUAAAAACUAAGCCGUUUCACUACCAUUAAUUGCUCAAGUAAGGUCAGCAGCAGCAUUUUACAGCCAAAAAAAGUCUUCAAAAAAUUUUCGGCUUUUUUCAUUGAAAAGAUCAAACCUGUGUCCCCGGAAGGAUCCCCGUUGCGGUUUUUUUAGUGUAACUUCAAGAACAAUACUGCUAACAACUCAGCACCGGAUCCUUCGUAACGUACAUAAAUAUUGAAGUCGUGUACAACUCAGCACUUUGGUCAAGAUGGAUUCACUAGGCUUCAGUAGGCUUGAAGCUUGACGAAUUCCGCAAAAUCGACCAUUGCCAUUGUAAAAAGCUGUUUUGUAUUUCGCUUUUGGUGCUUUAAAGCACCUGUAUAUGUAGUCUAUUCCUGGGUCUAAUUUUUACAAGAAUUAGAACUACAAUAUAAGAUCCAAUCCAGUGGAAAAAAGGCAACCUAAUUCGUGAUCUAUUAACUAUCAAAGUGUUUAGAACUGCGUAAAACUGGAUCCAAAUCUGCUAAGUUUUAGACCAAUCCUUAUACCAAUUCUAAAAAAAAAGUUGAGUCGGAACUGGUAAAAUGGACCACCAUUGGGAAUCUGAGCCGUACCGGAUUUGUCUCAAAUUAUUCAUACAAUAUCUGGGCAGUGAAGAAUAUACCGAUCAAUUUGGAAUGCUUAACCUGCGAAAAUAAACGAUACUCGAAGUUUCCAUCUGUGCUUAUGUUGAUAAAGCGAUACUUGUCAGCAAGGUUGCCAAUGAGCCAGAUUUUUCAGAAUUUUUUUAAGCCCAUCCUAAUAACCUGGUAAUAAGCUUCCUAUUUUACUCUAAGGCCGGAACAAAAUUCAAAUCCUUCUUUUGUCACUCGGAGUUAGAUCAUUGCAAGGGGGAUAAUAAAAUAAAAUGCAAAAAAAAAAACAAUCAUUUGGAAUAAAUUGUAUGAAAGCUUGCGUGCAUUAAAAUUGCAAACUAUAUUAUUGCACAAAACCCAUAUAUCAAGUAAUUUUUGAUCGAAAAAUUUAAUAAAAUCAAGCAUACAAUGAUAAAACUCCCAUCUUCCACAUUUUUUUUUUGCUCUUGUAAUCUUUCAGAUAUUUGAAAUUUUUUCCUAAAUUUCAAUAAAAUAUUUCAAACUUUAUUUAUUCCCCCCUUCGGGUUUUUGAAAAUUUCGAAGGGAGGGGGAGGGGGGUGACAGAAAAAGAAAUUGAUAUUUGUUCUGGCCUAAUUUUUGGAAAUUAGCCUGAUUUUACUUGAUUUCUGUAUUAUUACGGAAAAUGAUCUUUAUCAAUACUCAGAAUGAUAUACUAAAACCUGAUCUAAAACAUUGAAUAGUGGAUUGGAGCCUUUCUUAAAUGUUUUAAACUAUUUUUUAUCCAUCAUAAUUCGAAAUUCUAAAUCUGAAAUUUUAAAAUGCGCCAUCGGUCUUCUGCUUAUUUUCUUAUCCUAAAAUCUCGUCUGCAUACCAACCCAUAUAAGUAUGGUUUCAAAGUUUUUUUUUUUAACCUUUUUUCGGUUUAUUCAAUACUGCAAAUUAUUUUAGGCUACAUAUUUGAAUGCAGAAAACAAAAAUUCAAUUUGCAAUUAUGAAACCUCACAAUGAUGUAAUAAAAAUAAUCUCAAUGUCUUAUACCAUUUAAAAAAUAAAAACAAUUAGAAAAAAUAAUUUUGUUUUCUGGCAUAAAUCUCUUACUUUGAGGUCAAUAAAAUCAUUUCCAUCGAUAAAAUUUUUUUCAACGUGUUUAUGCAGUAGAGGGUCAAGUUAUAAUUCUCCGGGCCAGGCUUUCUAAAAUUUGGUAUUAAAUAUCCGGGCUAACCCGAAUAAAACUUGCAACCGUAGUCUAUACUACAGUGAGCGAAAUAAGAAUAGCACCACUAUAUGUUUCGCUUGUUAAAAUAUGAAUGAUUGAAAAUUACGAAAAUUUUCUUCCACAGAUUGUUCUGAAUUGCUUAACGGAUAAACCUAGCAUAAGUUUACUUUUUUUGGACGUAGCAAUUGGCGUUGAGGACCAAUAAUGUGGAAAAAGGGUGCGAAAUAAGAAUAGAACCACUUGAGUUUUUCUAACAAAACAAGAUUUUUUUCACAAAUUUACUGAGUAAAAGUGAAUAAUAAUGCUUCUUCGAGUUAUUUGAAUAGAUAACUGCAUUUUAGGAGUUUUCCAGAAUUCCAAAGGUUUUCAAAGGUUUCAAAAUGGGUGUUUUAAGAGAUGCUCCUCUAGCGUUAAGGAAUUAAAAAUUUGAGCUGUAAUUUUUUAUCAAAUUACUAACUUUCUUCAUAAAAAUGACGUGAAAUGAUGAAACAAACAUUCGAGAUUAAUUUUUAAUCAGAAAAAAUAGGUUGGAAAUCAAAAACUUUGAUUUUGUUCAGUAAACAAAACUUUUUUCCAGUUUCAAGUCGUAGAUUGCAGCACUAUCUUGCAGUUAACAACAAAUUUUGUCUCAAUAUUGAUUUUCCAGGUUUAUUUAGGCCCAUAUUCAUCAUUUUGAGGUAUUUUCCCAUUACAGUUUUGUGGAAGUUCACGCUGCAGAGAGCUUUUCCGGAUUUGCAAAAGAAUCACCAGCACAAAAAUGUACAACCGCCGAAAUUCCUGCUCAUCUCAACUUCCAAUUCAAUUGCAAAUCAUACCAAUAAUACUGCUAGCCGUCUGGUCCAUCAAGCUGCAUCCCAAAAUAUAACUUUAUUCUGAUAAUCGGUCCAAAAAAUUCACUUUUAGUGACCUUGAUGCAAUUCUAUUUUUUUUUGGAUUUAGUGAUCUUAGAAUUUCCAAAGCGUUCACACGAUACAUGUAUUUAUUUAUAGACCAAAAUCGUCCAGCACUCCCUAAUUAAUCCCAAAUAUUCGAAAAUGGGCAUGAAUUUGGUUUAAUGGCAAGAUAGUGCUGCCAUCUAUGACUUAAAACUAGAGAAAUAUUGUUUGAUUAUUAAAAAACAUUUGUAUUUUUGAAUCCCAACCUGCUUUUUGGAUUCAAACUCAGCCUCAAAUCUAUGUUUCAUCAUUUUACAUCAUACUUAUGAAUGUUAAUGAAGAAAUCAAGCAGUUUGAUAAAGUUUCAUAGCUCAAAUAUCUAAUUCCUUAACGCUAGAGGAACAUCUCUUAAAACCCCAAUUUUAAAACCUUUGAAAACCUUUGGAACUCCUAAAAUGCAGAUAUCUAUUCAAAUAACCCGUAGAAGUUUUAUUAUGCACUUUUACACAGUAAAUUUUUAAAACUAAUCUAGUUUUUGUUGGAAAAACUCAGGUGGUUCUAUUCUUAUUUCGCACCCCUUUUCCACAUUUUUGGUCCUCAACGCCAAUUGCUACGUCCAAAAAAAGUAAACUUAUGCUUGAUUUAUCCGUUAAGCAAUUCAGAACAAUCUGUGGAAAAUUUUUUUCGUAAUUUUCAAUCAUUCAUAUUUUAACAAGCGAAACACAUAGUGGUGCUAUUCUUAUUUCGCUCACUGUAUAACAAUCUGUUUUUGUAAGAAAUGCGAAAAUGGUCAUCAGUGAUUUUGUAGCUUUUCCAGCAUUACUCUUGAAAGGAGGAGUGGUCUGAUCCGUAAGAGGGAAAUUUCCUGUAUAUUAUAAAUUAUCUAAACAUUUGAUAAAUAAAAUACAACUGUUAUUGUAUCAAUGUUAGCAGCUUACAUUACUGAAACAAAAAGAAAUUAUCUGCAUAUUCGGUCGAAUAUACGGCUCAAUCAUUCGGUGAGCCGAAUAUUUAACUUAACGAAAAUUUUCAUGAUAGGUUCGUGGAAAUAUGUUUCUGUUUAGAAAGAACCUUGAAGAAGAUUUGAGCGCCGAUGUGGUCUAGUGGAUAGGCUGGCGCGAGUCUGGUUCUGGUUUGCCAGGCGUACUGGGUUCGAUUCCCGGUAUCGGCAAGAAAACUUUUGGGUUCGAAUCCCAUAAGUGGCCGACAGGUAAGAUGUGUUUCCUCAUAUAACUGACUAUAUAAUAAGAAUGAUCAAUCAGUUGCCAGCUGGCCAGGUAUAUACACGGAUGCCGGAAUACCUGUAAGUAAACUAGCCCACCUGAUUGACUCAUUCUUCCAAAAUAAACGUACAUCAACACGAUACAUUCAUCCAUAACAGUUCAUACGAAGCCAUGGGGUCCGGGUAUGGUGUACGCGUUGCAUUGGAGAUUUUCCGAACAUAAUAAUCUAAAGAAUGCAUGUGAGCACAUACUUAGGCAGAAACUGCGGUGAAUCCGUGCACCCAUGGUGGAUAACCAACAUACAUACAUACAGAAAGAACCUUGAAGAAGAUUUUAGCCAUAACCAUAUGUGGUUCUUGUUUCCGUUUUUUAUGGAAUUACUUCUGAUUAGUAUGAUCUUCAUCCAUCACCGGAGUUUGUGAAAUACUUUUUAAGACUUAUACUCUGAUCAUUAUUUCUCAUAUAUUUUCGCCGAAAUCUGCAUAUAAUAUUUUCAGUUAAAAUGAAAAUCUGGUGAAAUCCUUUACGGGUGGACUAUUGACCCAAUAAUUCUAGAAAAAAAACCUACUUUCCCCUGUUAACGCAGCUAUGUGGCAUUUAUUCACCCUGCGUACUUAUGCCACAAACCGGAGACCUGCGGACAUGACAUUCGUUCAUUGAGAAAUCAAGACAAGUCCGAAUAGGGCAUCAUAAUAUAUGCAUAUUUACCGUCAUCAAAAACUAGAGCAUUCCAGGUAAUUAUCCGUAAUGUCGGAGCUGCUGAACUAUUUGUGCUACUACACUGCUUCCUCGGUGCAUAACUGAAAGCCGGAAUCCUGUCCACUCCAACAGAAGAAAUACUAGGUACCUACUUAUCUACAUAUCGUCGUCCACUUUUAUGGCUCGAUCGUGUGACACGCGCAAAUGAAAGCAAACGCAAAGAAGAACCUCCUUAUGCAUACCUACUUCAAACAUGCGCAUUGAAUCCCAGUGUUUUUUUCUGUUGAACUUCGUCGAACGUGAUCGUCUCGGAUAUUUUUUUAUAUUCUUUGAUUUGUGGUGGAUUAAAUAUUUGAGCAAUGAAUCGGAUGAAGCGGACAGAAAACGAAAAUAUUCCUAAUUCGACCGCGCUCUGUAUGCAAUAAGUGAAAAGUGAAAUCGAAAGUACUGCCUGGGUUUACGAUGGAUGUACGAUUUUGCCAUUGUGUGUGGCUUUUGCAUACCGAUAGGCUCAGUGACUCAGUUGAUGUGGCGGCCUAAAGGGGCAUGAGAACCGAAAAUAAAUCCAGUGAAUUCGAAAAUUAAAUAGUCAACAUUGUUCAUUGGCUCGUAAUACUGACAAUCCCAUGAAGUGCAUACUACUUGCGCAGUAGACGUCGCGUGUUCCAUCUUCGUCGAUUACGAUUACCAACAAUCGACAGCCAUAUAUUCCAAGCAAAAACAAUGCAUCGGCAGAAAAAGAAAUAAAAACCCAUUACCAGAUCACACAAGCGGAAGAAACGCAUUACCGAAAAUUGAUAAUUGAUACUCACCUUCGGCAAAAACCAUCGAAAACGAAGAGACCUGUCAAUGCUAGCCAAAGCUAGCUAGAAUUUGGAAACACUCGAAAUGGACGACAACGAGAACUACUUGGAGUACUCCAAAAUGAACUUCUCCCAGUUUUCGUCUCCCUUCGGUGGGGCGCUGACGGCGAAUCAGUUUACGGCGGCGAAGUUCCCUCCAAAUUUGACUACGGCCAACGGGCAGGUA
Uranotaenia lowii is the source of this 11748-nucleotide long non-coding RNA. RefSeq lists it as uncharacterized. Lineage: Eukaryota; Metazoa; Arthropoda; Insecta; Diptera; Culicidae. The transcript is spliced from 3 exons. The record is from RefSeq and is a predicted model, not a curated record.